CCUUUCAGCUGGGUUUGUCUGCAAAUCUGCAUACUGGCUUAUGAGGGACCCCCUUUGCAGUUGCCAAUUGCAUUGGGAGCCUUAUUUCUCCCCCUAUUUGAGGGCUCCCCAACUCCUUUUAAGUAAGUGCAUCCAGCAGCUCCAGUCCCAUGGUCUCCUCUGGACUGAGCCGUUGCCGUCUGGCCCUGGCAUUUGCAGUGUUCAUGGACGCUGCGGGCACCGGGGCACUGCUGACCGGCAUCUUCGCUAGACUGAGGCUGCGAGGCCGAGACUUUGGGGAUCUAUUAAUCUACUCGGGUGCGGUACUGGUAUUCCUGAGCCUGUUGGGUUGGAUUAUGUGGUACACGGGCAAUAUUGAGAUAGCCCCUGAAGAACUGGCGAGGGAUUAUCAUGCCAAGAAAGGCACUCUGGCACGACUGGCUAGGAAGAUCUCGCGGACCUGGUCGCGACGCCAAGGUGGUGGGCUGGCCAUGAGGACCAUUCCAACUAGCCGAGAAGCAGCUUAGAGAUUUCCACAUGAUGCCAGCAUUUUGUGGAAUUGCUGUGAAAGAGCUGGCUUCCAUUAGUGAGCAAGCGUCUUUUAAUUUUUUGGCUGCAGUCCCCAUCUGCGGAGAUCUUGGAACCCAGGAAAAUAAAAUCUGUCACUACCUCCAUUUCUUCCCCAUCUAUCUGCCAGGAAUUAAGAAGGACAGAUGCCAUGAUUUUAGUUUUCUUAAUGUUAAGUUUCAUUAAAUAUAUAUAAUUUUGCCAACUCUUGUUACUGGAAUAUAAUUCUGGGUUUUAUACAGAUGAAGAUUCCUAAAUAUGUAUAUUCCACUAUCACCAUCACUUCACGUGUGUAUAGAGUGUCCUCAAAGCUUUGCCCUUCAACCUGAGACACCUCUGACUAUAUUCCUCCAAUCCUAGGAUUGUCAGUCAGGUUUCCCGGUCACAACUACAUGCACUGGGUUUUUCUCAUUCCCAGGAAAUGUUCCGUGGAAAACAGAGGUGGGAUUCUCUUACCUUCCCUACCGGUUCGCAAAUGUGAGUGCGCACUCCUGCUUUGCUCGCAUGCCCCUCCUCUGCUCAUGCACACGGCCUUCCGCACAUGCGCAGUGCUCACACAUUAUGUCUGGGCAGGUGGGCGGAGCCUCCCACAGUUGCCACUACCGAUUCGCCAGAACCGGCUGAAUCCAAACACUAGUGGAAAGAGAGAGGUUUGGAUAUCUGAUGCAUAGAUCAGUUAGGAGUCCAAAGUAGACAGUCCUACUUCUGUGGGGUCCUUGGUGCUCUCUGAGCUUGGUUGUUUACUUGUGGACAUUUCAUUACCCAACUAGGUAACAUCAUCAUGAAGGUUAAUGAAACAUCUGCAAGAAAACAAUCAAUCUCGGAGAAUAUCAAGGACCCCACAGUUCAACCCUGAGCUACAAAUAUUCUCUUCUAUCAGUCCUAUUUCUCUUUGACCUCAUAUCCAGAACAUAAGCACUGAGGAAUCUACUGUAUGUACCAUGUCCUUGUUCUUUUUAUGGGCAAUCCAUGGUAAAAGGCAGGUGGGGAGGAGAUAAAGGCAUAGAAAGUAAAAGCUGUUCUCACAGCAGAAGCGAGAAUGAAAUUGUGGACUUCCCGUUCCAUAGUUCAUAUGUUAGAGUUUCAACUGGCCACACCUGCAGUGAACAAUCCACCUCAUUUUAAGAUAUAAGGAAGGCUAAUAUCUUUCUUCCUUGCAAAGAGAGGGUCAUUUAGAAAUGCAGUUCAAAUCACUUACUAUACAAGUAGUCCUUGACUUGCCACCACAAUUUCAAUGUUGCUAAGCGAGAUGGUUGUUAGGUGAGUUUUGCCCCAUUUAACAACCUUUCUUGCCAUCAUUGUUAAGUGAAUCAUUGCAGUUGUUAAGUUAGUGACACGGUGGUUAAGAGCUUCCCCCCCCAUUGACUUUACUUGUCAGAAAGUCACAAAAGGGGAUCAGAUGACCUCAGAAGAUUGCAACCGUCAUAAAUUUGAGUCAGUUGCCAAGCUUCUGAAUUUUGAUCAUGCGACCAUGAGCAGGGGUCUCCAACCUUGGCAACUUUAAGACUUGUGGACUUCAACAUUCAGAAUUCCUCAGCCAGCAAAGCCAAGGUUGGAGACUCCUGACCAUGAGGAUGCUACAACGGUCCUAAGUGCAAAAGAAAUCUGGUCAUAAGUCACUUUUUUCAGUGCUGUUGUGAUUCAAUCGGUCACUAAACGAGCUGUUGUAAGUCAAGGACUACGUGUAAUCGAGAAGGCGGGGAAGAAUUGUGGAUGAACUUCUUCGUGGCUUCUGCUUCCUUAAACCAAGGUCUGUUCUUUGUCUUCCCUUGAAACAAAGGACUGAUUUCAGACUCUCAGAUAUUUUUUUUUCUAGGCGCCCUACUGGACCGGACAAAGGUUCUAUAGGAUUAAGCAGUCUCUUUCCUGCGAUAGCCUAGAACUGUGAUGGCGAACCUAUGGCACGUGUGCCACAGGUGGCACACACAGCCAUAUUGGUGGGCAAGUGAGUUCAAAAGCAGGCCUUCCAAUCCCACGGGCAGUUUCCGGCUUCCGGAAGGAGGGGGAAGGCUGUUUUUGCUCUCCCCAGGCUCUUAGAAAGGCUCUGGAGCCCGGGGAGAGCGAAAAACGGGCCUACUUGGCCCAUCAUGCCAUUGCAUCCCAAAAGCAGGGGGAAUGUGGGGGGGGGGCGCGUCAGGCGCAUAGAAUUAUGGGUCUGGGCACACACAUGCGUGACUCCCCCCACUUUUGGCAUGCAAGGCAAAAAAGUUAGCCAUCACUGGCCUAGCAGCUCCUUUUAGAACUCGGUCCUCCCUGUUAUUACGUUCCUCACUGACUGCUUUUGUUUAUCUUUCAGCAUCCUCAUUAAACUUUUAAAGCCACAUAUUCGGAGACAGGCCACAGAUAUCAUUUUUCAUGUCUGGAUGAAACCGGAGGCUUCCUCCUGUUGCUCUGCCUUGGAUGGCCUUGGCUUGCAAAUACAGUCUCCUUUACUAACAUAUACAUCAGGGGUCCCCAACCCCACAACACAGGGCUGUGCAAGCAGCUGGGCCAGCGCAUGUGCAGUGGUGGGCUGGUUCCCUUCUUCCCCACACUGCCGGGCUGCCAAGCCAUAAAGGUUGGGGACCACUGAUCUACAUCAUUGGUUGAAUACAACACAACCAUCAGCCAUCACAUGACUUUAAAAGGCCAACCUCUCUGCCUGGCCAAAUGACUUCCCCAGAGCCUACUUCAGGGGUGAAAUCUAAAAAAAUUCCCUACCGGUUCUGUGGACGUGGCUUAAUUGGUGGGCAUGGGGCCGUGGUGGCUCAGGCUGUAAGAUAGCCUGUUAUUAAAACACAGCAGCCUGCAAUUACUGCAGGCUCGAAUCCCACCAGGCCCAAGGUUGACUCAGCCUUCCAUCCUUUAUAAGGUAGGUAAAAUGAGGACCCAGAUUGUUUGGGGGGGCAAUAAGUUGACUUUGUAAAUAUACAAAUAGGAUGAGACUAUUGCCUUACACACUGUAAGCCGCCCUGAGUCUUCGGAGAAGGGCGGGAUAUAAAUGUAAAUUAAAUAAAUAAAUAAAUAAAUAAAAAAUGGCUUGGUGGUCAGGUGACUGAAUGGGCAUGGCCAAUAAUAAUAAAUAACAAAAAUAAUAAAGUCUACAAAACUUGGGAGCUCACUGGUCUACCUUCUUUAAAAAUAGAGGCACCAGUCUACCAAUUGCCUUUUUUUGGGAGGCACAGGUCUACCUUCUUUAAAAUAGAGGCACCGGUCUACUAGCCACCUACAGCGCUGAUCAGCUGUAGUGCGGCCCUUUGAAGCACUGCGGCAGUCAUUUAAGGCCGUUCGCAGCUAUAUCACCACCGAGAGCUUCAGGAACAGAGAAGAGGAAUAGCGAGGUGUGGACGGUGAGGGGGGGCAGGGAUUUUUGCUACCGAUUCUCCAAACUACCCGGCCCCAUCGCUACCAGAUCGCGUGAUCCAGUCUGAACUGGGAGCAUUUCACCCCUGGGCUACAUGGGACCUCUUUUAAUAAGUUCUGGUGACUGUGUGCAUUCUCCCUCCCUCCCCACCCUCUCUCACACACACACACUCAUGUGAUUGAAUUUCGGGCACUUGGCAACCAGCUUGCAUUCAUGGCCAGUUGCAGUGCUCCCGUGAUCACAAAAGACUGCGAGUUCUCCUGUGUUUUGUGGGUGUUCGACAUUUAUUUCCGGCAAAAAUACCAAUUGCAGAAAGCAGGUUUGCUUAACAAUUGCUGUGCUCACCUAACAACCACAGUGUUUGCUCAAACACAGGGAAAAAAAGGUGCAAAAAAAUUCAGGCAGUUACAUGGUGACCUGCUUAAUGAUUGCGACGACUGACAAUUGUAAUUCUGGUCUUAAUUAUAGUCAUAAAUUGAGGGGUAUCAGUAACAUUUCCAGCAUUUCCCAGAACAAAAUCCUAAAAGCUUUAACCAAAAACUCUCUACUAUUGACCUCACCCCAUUCCUAAGAGGACCAUAAGAGGCGUGCAUAAGCGCACAAACGUGCCUACCGUUCCUGUCCUAUUGUUUUUCUUUUCUUCUUCCUAUAUAUAUAUAUAUAUAUGCUUAUACCUCCUUAUAUUUACUCAUAUAUGUGUUUAUAUAUUAUAUAAUCUUUUUGUACGAUACCUACAUAUAUUGUUAUGACAAAAUUAAAUAAAUAAAUAAAUAAAUUUAUCUAGAUCAGAGGUCUUCAAAUUUGGCAGCUUUAAGACUUGUGGACUUCAACUCCCAGAAUUCUCCAGCCAGCUAUGCUGGAUGGAGAAUUCUGGGAGUUGAAGUCCACAAGUCUUAAAGCUGCCAAAGUUGAAGACUUCUGAUUCACAAGUCUUAAAGCUACCAAAGUUGAAGACCUCUGAUCCACAAGUCUUAAAGCUACCAAAGUUGAAGACCUCUGAUCUAGACCUAUCGAUAUGUUAUAUUACCUGAAUUCUGGGUCUUUUCCAUUCUUUCCAUGAGAAACCGAUGUGGGCAUCUUCUGAGCAAAAUUUGCCCCUUAAAUAGAUCAUCUCUUUCUUCCUGAUCUGUCUUAAGCUCAGGGCUUGAAAAUUAUUGACUCUUUCCUCUCUUAUCCCAACCUAAUCAUUAUUCCCUUUAGUACGGUAGAUGAAUAUCACAAGAUGAACUUGUGAUUAACUUGCUUUUUU
This is an RNA transcript of Ahaetulla prasina, 5138 nucleotides long. It is a transcript of the gene named transmembrane protein 238, with no coding region annotated. NCBI's taxonomy places the organism in Eukaryota, Metazoa, Chordata, Lepidosauria, Squamata, Colubridae. The record is from RefSeq and is a predicted model, not a curated record. The transcript has 3 exons.